RNAcentral lists this long non-coding RNA (2340 nucleotides) under Homo sapiens (human). Its description in RNAcentral is "HSALNT0394648". The stretch from base 990 to 1062 matches the Rfam family "mir-122 microRNA precursor family". Lineage: Eukaryota; Metazoa; Chordata; Mammalia; Primates; Hominidae. The record is from RNAcentral.
AAUCGAUAAAUAAUGCGACUUAUCAGAAAGAGAAAGAAUUGUUUACUUUUAAACCCUGGAUCCCAUAAAGGGAGAGGGGAGAGGCCUAAAGCCACAGAAGCUGUGGAAGGCGCCAUCCUGCCUGCCACAGGAAGGGCCUUGGACUGAGAGGACCGGAGCUGACUGGGGAUUAUUCAAAGCCAAAAGCCAACAGAGCCCCCAUGGAGAAGUGGAGGAUGCUCAGAUACUGCUAUGGAGCCCUGAGAAGUGAAAUGGGUCCAAGCCCUUGCCCAGGAUAGAGCGCUCCAAGCGCAUCCUCCGGGGACCCUUUUAAUCAGUGAAUUGUUCACCUCUCACUGUUUCUUCCCAGCAGAGCUAAGAGACUUCUAGAGCCUCUUGUGGAUGGUCAGCGAUAGCCCUGAUUGAACAUUUGAGCAAGACCAGAUGCCUUUAUAUCCAAUAGAUGCCACGGAGAGUAGAUCACAACACAUCUAACUGCUGUAUCCCCAUAUAAAAUAAUUUUAAUUUUCCUAGACUGCAGAAUUGAUCACAUUUACUGAUGAUGGAUUGGGAAGUAGGUGAAGAGGUGAGAGUUGGAGAGUAUCCAUUCAUUCGGCCAGAUUAUUCUCAUUUAUAAUGUAGUCUUCCAAUAAGUAUUUAUUUCCAGAAAUCUAUUCCCUCUAGAGAUUCUUUCUCUCUCAGCCAUUUUAGAAAAUUGUUGCAAACAGAGUUCCUGUCCAUUUUCACAGGAAGUUUUUGCAGAAGGGGUUUGCUGGGUGGCAGUGGAACACAGGCAGUGGACCCCUCUACUACUCUACUGUUCCAGAACACAGAAGCCUUUCAUUGAGAGUGUUCAGCUCUUCCCAUUGCUCAAGAUGCUUGUACCCGUGAUGCUUCUUUUCUCUGCUUAGGUCACAAUAUGUGGAGCUGACAAGGUUCCCCUAUUAUCAGUGACAAUGGUGGAAUGUGGAGGUGAAGUUAACACCUUCGUGGCUACAGAGUUUCCUUAGCAGAGCUGUGGAGUGUGACAAUGGUGUUUGUGUCUAAACUAUCAAACGCCAUUAUCACACUAAAUAGCUACUGCUAGGCAAUCCUUCCCUCGAUAAAUGUCUUGGCAUCGUUUGCUUUGAGCAAGAAGGUUCAUCUGAUAUCAGUCUUCUCAAUCUUGUGUACUUACUGAAUAAAGUCUGGCUCUUUUGCACUCAUAACCAAUAUGGUUAGCUGAACCCUGCCUCUCACAUGCUGUUGUUACAUACCUUAGCUGGUGAUUAAUUUUCUUGUUUUCCCAAGUCAAUAAAAAGAUUGCAGACCAGGCACGGUGGCUCACGCCUGAAAUCCCAGCACUUUGGGAGGCCAAGGCAGGCGGAUCACUUGAGCUCAGGAGUUCAAGUCCAGCCUGGGCAGCAUGGUGAAACCGUGUCUCUACAAAAACUACAAAAAUUAGCCAGGCAUGGUGGCAUGUGCCUGUAAUCUCAGCUACUUGAGAGGCUGAGGUGGGAGGAUCAAUUGAGCCCACGAGGUUGAGGCUGUAGUGAGCUGUGAUGGUACCACUGCACUCCAGCCUGUGUGACAGAGCAAGAUCCUGUCUCAAAAAAUGAAAAUAAAAAGAUUGCAGAGUUCCUCAGAGCCCCCAACACAAGGCCAGGCACGAGGUAAUCAUUUAACCCAUGCUUAUAGACUUAAAAUGAAUAGUUAGGAAAGUGUUAGACGCAGAAGGCUAAGACUGGGCUAAAUCUAUGUUAUGCAGACAGACCGCAAGCUUAUAGGUACAAAAUUAAGGUGUGUGGGUCCUUCUCUUUUCGUCGUUAAAAAAUCCAACUUUCUAAUAAACUUACACAUGGUUUCACUGACGUUUCAGAAAUUCUAGAAUAUGUUUGAUUUCUACUGAUUUCAAUCAAUUACUAGGCUGAUUACUGAAUUCGUACACUAGGCCUUUCUUCCUCUUGCAUCAGUGAAUUACCAUCAGAAAAUUGUUUAUGAAGCAUGUGUGAGCUGCCAUAGCAAAUCUGGGACCCAUGCAGUUUCUAGGACAGUUGGCCCAGCCAGGUGCUCUGGUUUGGAACCCAUUCUGUCUCUGAGAGGUGUCUAAAGUCAGGAGUAGGUUUCGUUUGUGCCAGACUAAAGCUUCCCUCCCCAGGCUUGGUUAAAUGAAGUAGGACAUGUUUAAUCAAAUAGACAGGGUUAGAUCAACCAUCAGAAACAAAUUCAACCAUUCAACCAUUCACUUAUGAAAUAAAUAUGUGUAGAGACUACCGUGUGCCUGACACUGUCCUAGGCAUUGAAGACACUUUUAAAUUAAAUGUGUCUGAUGUUAUUUCCAGAGAUGGGCAUUCACUGGCUCGCAUUAUAUUUUGGGACCAU